UGGGGAAUAUUGCACAAUGGGCGAAAGCCUGAUGCAGCAACGCCGCGUGAGGGACGACGGCCUUCGGGUUGUAAACCUCUUUUAGCAAGGAAGAAGCGAAAGUGACGGUACUUGCAGAAAAAGCGCCGGCUAACUACGUGCCAGCAGCCGCGGUAAUACGUAGGGCGCAAGCGUUAUCCGGAAUUAUUGGGCGUAAAGAGCUCGUAGGCGGUUUGUCGCGUCUGCUGUGAAAACCCGAGGCUCAACCUCGGGCCUGCAGUGGGUACGGGCAGACUAGAGUGCGGUAGGGGAGAUUGGAACUCCUGGUGUAGCGGUGGAAUGCGCAGAUAUCAGGAAGAACACCGAUGGCGAAGGCAGAUCUCUGGGCCGUAACUGACGCUGAGGAGCGAAAGGGUGGGGAGCAAACAGGCUUAGAUACCCUGGUAGUCCACCCCGUAAACGUUGGGAACUAGUUGUGGGGUCCAUUCCACGGAUUCCGUGACGCAGCUAACGCAUUAAGUUCCCCGCCUGGGGAGUACGGCCGCAAGGCUAAAACUCAAAUGAAUUGACGGGGUCAUAGCUGUUUCC
Molecule: ribosomal RNA, 567 nt
Filed under: uncultured bacterium
Lineage: Bacteria
Description: partial 16S ribosomal RNA
Rfam family: Bacterial small subunit ribosomal RNA
Source: RNAcentral